Molecule: microRNA, 22 nt
Filed under: Capitella teleta
Lineage: Eukaryota; Metazoa; Annelida; Polychaeta; Capitellidae
Description: Cte-Mir-216-P1_3p* (star (passenger))
Source: RNAcentral
CAGGAUGCCGGCCGAUAUUGAC